GAAAACGAUUUCCAAUUUUAACAGAAGGUGUUACGAAAAUUAGUAAAAAGCGCAAGACUAACAGAGUUUUGGACAGGUCUCUAUGGUAGAAAACCAGCAAAGAAGCCCUUCAAUUCUGCAAACUAUAGAACAGUGAAACUACCUUUUGCAAGACAACAUGUGAACUGGUCAGAUGGGCAAUGGAAAACAAUUUUCCAAUGAAAGUCGACUCCGAUUAUUUAAAUCUGAUGGCAUUUCAUAGGUGAGAGGACCAAUUAAUGAAAGAUUUCGCAUGGGCCCACUGGUUAUGUUAGACGAGAUAAUAGAUCGUUUAGUUUACCAUGACAUUCUGUAAAAUCAUAUGCUUCCAUUGGCUGAAGGUAACAUGAGUUUAACCAUGAACCUUCCAGCACGACAACGAUCCGAAACACACGUCUAAAUUAGUUAAAGAAUGGUUCGCUUCUUAAGGAGUACGUGUUAUGCCUUGGCCAGCACAAAACCCAGACAUCAAUCUAAUGGAAAAAUUUUGUGAAAAAUUGAUCUAUACAAAAAGAGCUACUAAAAUCAAUGAAGAAAAGGUGUUUGGAAAUUAUUAGAAAAAAUUGGCAUGCUACUAGAUAUUAAAUAAAAGAAGGCUAAA
Long non-coding RNA from Aethina tumida (small hive beetle), 619 nucleotides. RefSeq lists it as uncharacterized. The record is from RefSeq and is a predicted model, not a curated record. The transcript has 2 exons. Lineage: Eukaryota; Metazoa; Arthropoda; Insecta; Coleoptera; Nitidulidae.